Molecule: ribosomal RNA, 730 nt
Filed under: uncultured bacterium
Lineage: Bacteria
Description: bacterial SSU rRNA
Rfam family: Bacterial small subunit ribosomal RNA
Source: RNAcentral
AACAGGAUUAGAUACCCUGGUAGUCCACGCCGUAAACGAUGUCGACUUGGAGGUUGUGCCCUUGAGGCGUGGCUUCCGGAGCUAACGCGUUAAGUCGACCGCCUGGGGAGUACGGCCGCAAGGUUAAAACUCAAAUGAAUUGACGGGGGCCCGCACAAGCGGUGGAGCAUGUGGUUUAAUUCGAUGCAACGCGAAGAACCUUACCUGGCCUUGACAUCCAGAGAACUUAGCAGAGAUGCUUUGGUGCCUUCGGGAACUCUGAGACAGGUGCUGCAUGGCUGUCGUCAGCUCGUGUUGUGAAAUGUUGGGUUAAGUCCCGCAACGAGCGCAACCCUUAUCCUUUGUUGCCAGCGAUUCGGUCGGGAACUCAAAGGAGACUGCCGGUGAUAAACCGGAGGAAGGUGGGGAUGACGUCAAGUCAUCAUGGCCCUUACGGCCAGGGCUACACACGUGCUACAAUGGCGCAUACAAAGAGAAGCGACCUCGCGAGAGCAAGCGGACCUCAUAAAGUGCGUCGUAGUCCGGAUUGGAGUCUGCAACUCGACUCCAUGAAGUCGGAAUCGCUAGUAAUCGUAGAUCAGAAUGCUACGGUGAAUACGUUCCCGGGCCUUGUACACACCGCCCGUCACACCAUGGGAGUGGGUUGCAAAAGAAGUAGGUAGCUUAACCUUCGGGAGGGCGCUUACCACUUUGUGAUUCAUGACUGGGGUGAAGUCGUAACAAGGUAACC